AUACGGAGGGUGCAAGCGUUACUCGGAAUCACUGGGCGUAAAGCGCGCGCAGGCGGGCUGAUAAGUUGGAUGUGAAAGCCUACGGCUCAACCGUAGAACUGCAUCCAAAACUGUCAGUCUAGAGUCUGGGAGGGGAAGAUGGAAUUAGUUGUGUAGGGGUAAAAUCCGUAGAGAUAACUAGGAAUACCAAAAGCGAAGGCGAUCUUCUGGAACUGUACUGACGCUGAGGCGCGAAAGCGUGGGGAGCAAACAGGAUUAGAAACCCUAGUAGUCC
This 274-nucleotide ribosomal RNA is filed under the name uncultured bacterium. RNAcentral describes it as "partial 16S ribosomal RNA". It matches the Rfam family "Bacterial small subunit ribosomal RNA", at positions 523 to 796 of the family's 1533-position model. The record is from RNAcentral.